This 260-nucleotide ribosomal RNA is filed under the name uncultured bacterium. Its description in RNAcentral is "partial 16S ribosomal RNA". It matches the Rfam family "Bacterial small subunit ribosomal RNA", at positions 524 to 782 of the family's 1533-position model. The record is from RNAcentral.
UACAGAGGCCCCAAGCGUUACUGAGAAUCACUGGGUUUAAAGGGUGCGUAGGUGGCGCGUUAAGUCCGUUGUGAAAUCCCUGGGCUCAACCCAGGAAUUGCUUCGGAUACUGGCGUGCUUGAGGCCGGUAGGGGUCACUGGAACUGACGGUGGAGCGGUGAAAUGCGUAGAUAUCGUCAGGAACGCCGAUGGUGAAGACAGGUGACUGGGCCGGAACUGACCACGUGAGGCACGAAAGCGUGGGAGCGAACGGGAUUAGA